RNAcentral lists this ribosomal RNA (253 nucleotides) under uncultured bacterium. RNAcentral describes it as "partial 16S ribosomal RNA". It matches the Rfam family "Bacterial small subunit ribosomal RNA", at positions 524 to 776 of the family's 1533-position model. The record is from RNAcentral.
UACGGAGGGUGCGAGCGUUGUCCGGAAUUAUUGGGCGUAAAGGGCUCGUAGGCGGUCUGUUGCGUCGGGAGUGAAAACUCAGGGCUUAACCCUGAGCCUGCUUCCGAUACGGGCAGACUAGAGGUAUGCAGGGGAGAACGGAAUUCCCGGUGUAGCGGUGAAAUGCGCAGAUAUCAGGAGGAACACCGGUGGCGAAGGCGGUUCUCUGGGCAUUACCUGACGCUGAGGAGCGAAAGUGUGGGGAGCGAACAGG